UAUUAUAAUCCCAAACCACUACUGAGUAAUUCUAUACUACUAUAGAAAAUUUUAUGUUAAAACUAGUAACAAGAAGAAGACUCUUCUCUUAAAUGCAAGCGUAAAUCAGAAAGGACAAACCACUGAUAUUUAACAUCCAUGAGCCUGAAAUAGAAACUUACCAGGAAAAUCCUACUUCCCCCUAUGUUAAUCUUACACUAGAGCAUUUUAAGAAAGAUUAAAAGAAAAAGAAGGAACUCGGCAAAUAUUAACCUCGCCUGUUUACCAAAAACAUCGCCUCUUGAAUUAAUAUAAGAGGUCCAGCCUGCCCAGUGACCCUGUUCAACGGCCGCGGUAUCCUAACCGUGCGAAGGUAGCGUAAUCACUUGUUCUUAAAUGAGGACUAGUAUGAACGGCAUCACGAAGGUUAUACUGUCUCCUUUUUCUAAUCAGUGAACCUAAUCUCCCCGUGAAGAAGCGGGGAUGUAAUUAUAAGACGAGAAGACCCUAUGGAGCUUAAAACAACACAGCACUUGCUAAAAAACUAAACAAUUUCAGAAUUCUCAUUUUCUAAGCAACAUGACUGUAAGUUUUUGGUUGGGGUGACCACGGAGUAUAAUAUAACCUCCAUGUUGGAAGAAUUUUAUUCUAAGCCAAAAAUUACAUUUUUAAGCAUCAAUAAAUUGACAUCUAUUGACCCAAUAUAUUUGAACAACGAACCAAGUUACCCUAGGGAUAACAGCGCAAUCCACUUCAAGAGCUCCUAUCGACAAGUGGGUUUACGACCUCGAUGUUGGAUCAGGGUAUCCAGUGGUGCAGCCGC
This 802-nucleotide ribosomal RNA is filed under the name Peltophryne empusa (Cuban small-eared toad). Its description in RNAcentral is "Peltophryne empua (Cuban small-eared toad) partial 16S ribosomal RNA". It matches the Rfam family "Bacterial large subunit ribosomal RNA", at positions 1452 to 2562 of the family's 2925-position model. The record is from RNAcentral. Lineage: Eukaryota; Metazoa; Chordata; Amphibia; Anura; Bufonidae.